UACGGGGGAUGCAAGUGUUAUCCGGAAUAAUUGGGCGUAAAGCGUCUGUAGGUGGUUUACCAAGUCUGUUGUUAAAAAUUAGGGCUCAACCCUGAUCCGGCAACAGAAACUAGUAGACUUGAGUACGGUAGGGGCAGAGGGAAUUCUCGGUGUAGUGGUGAAAUACGUAGAUAUCGAGAAGAACACCAAUAGCGAAAGCACUCUGCUGGGCCGAAACUGACAUUGAGAGACGAAAGCUAGGGGAGCAAAAGGG
This 253-nucleotide ribosomal RNA is filed under the name uncultured Loriellopsis sp. RNAcentral's name for it is "partial 16S ribosomal RNA". It matches the Rfam family "Bacterial small subunit ribosomal RNA", at positions 524 to 776 of the family's 1533-position model. The record is from RNAcentral. Lineage: Bacteria; Bacillati; Cyanobacteriota; Cyanophyceae; Nostocales; Symphyonemataceae.